This is a non-coding RNA of Leptonychotes weddellii (Weddell seal), 10530 nucleotides long. Lineage: Eukaryota; Metazoa; Chordata; Mammalia; Carnivora; Phocidae. The record is from RefSeq and is a predicted model, not a curated record.
GACCCAGGUACAGGGCCUGGAGAGGGACGGCAACCACGUCAAACUCUGAGCAAGCUAAUCCUCGAAGGAAGGGACUGGUGAGAGAGAGGCUGGUGGGAGGCCCUCUCUCCUGGGGAGCGCGGGAGAAUAAGGCCAGGAAAAUAAAAGCCAAGGUUUACUCCACCCUCUGACCUGCUGCCCGCUGCAACACCUAAACGCUUCCCUGGCCCAACACAGUGCACGCUGUGUCCCUGCCUCCCACCACCCAGAGGCUGGCUCCUCCAGGCCCAUAAAAGGUCUGGCUUUGUGCCGUAGGACCCCACCGCCCCUAACGUCUGCAUGAGAAGAGGGAUACCAGUGGAGAAGAAUGUGGGCAUUGGGGUCAGGCAGGAUUCCAGAUCCCUAUUCUGCCAUUUAGUAACUGUGACCCCAGGCAAGUAAUAAGCUGCCCAGAGCCUCUGCUUUCUUAUCUUUAAGUAAGGCUUUAAAAAAACAAAACAAAACUGCAGGGGUAAUGCUGUAUUCGUCACACUGUUUCUUCUGGGGCACACAGGAAGACCACAUUCAUCUGCUUCCCGUGCAGUCAGUCGGGUUGGUGCCAGGCCUGGCUCUUGAAAAUAUCCCACAUGAUCUUUGCCCAAGCAAGAAAGAAGACUUCAUUGUGUUAAGCCCCUGCGUAUUUCCUACUCCAGCAGAGCACACAGCCCAUCUUUACAGAUAAGUGAAAUGAUGGAGGGGAAAAGGAAGGAUUCUGCAUAACCGCUUUUCAGUAAGCUUGGAAUAACAACCAAGAUGGCUUCUCUAUUUACAAACACGCCGCCAUUGUUUCAGAAGAGGAAAGUGAAUGUUAAGGAAUUAUGCUUGCUGCCCUGAUCAUCUGUUAAACUACAACACGGUCAAUCACAGUCCAAGGAGUCCUGCAUUUCACUGUGUCCUAUGAAACUCACAGCAGGAAAGGAAAAAGACGGUUCAAAACAGAAGGGAAACUGGACCCAUAUUUUAAAGCAUUACAAUGAGUAUGAGUAACAGGAUGUGAAAUGGACUUUCCCUGGUGUCAGAAUUGUGGCCGGAGUCCUAGUGAUGAAGAUCAUAAGUGCCACCUAGCCCGUGUCCUAAUGGGGCAGCUGGACACGGACCCCGAAUCUUCAUAGGCGAGGUUGACAAAAAGCUUUCAGCUGGUAACCCUGCUACCCCACCUCCACAAGGGGCCAUGAGAGAUCACAGGGAGAUUCUCUGAAGGGAAACGGAGGUGGACCUUUCUGCCUUGCCCCACCUCCCAAGCCAAGAGCUGCCACUUCCCAAGAGGCCAGUUCACAAUGACUGGGACUGUCAGCAGGAGGACAAACAAGAAUCUUCUUCCAUAGCAGAACUUCUCUAAUAGAGCCAAAGAAACUCCAACCCACUCCUGGCCGCCUCCAAGCAGAGUCCAGGCAUUCUCUGAAAUACCUGACGUGUGCCCUGGAGGCUUGGGAACAUUCAUGAAGAGAUAGGCUAGGACCUGAAAGAGUCCCAAACUCAGCUGGAGCUGUCCUUGAGCUCAUGACUGAGGGGGCAGGGGCAUAGGGCAAGGAGUUGGUCAUGCUGAAUUUCCACCUCAAUCUGGGGCAAGAAUGCAUCAUUUUCUCCAACCUGGAGCCACGGGAAGGCCUGGAAAGGUAGCUGGGCUUGAAAGGAUCCUGCCACAAAGGGUACACGUUCUGGGUGACAGGGACGCCAGCAGAAAGCCGCCGUGGGUGUCCCAGCAAGGGUGGGGAAGUCCCACGAACUCAGCCAGCAAGAGCACUGCUCACGUCAGGCCUCUGUGCCACACACAGUCUCCUGGGGUAGGGGUCUCUGAAGAGCCCACACCUGGGCUCCACACGACAGUCCUGGCAUAGCAGAACUGAGGGCACCGAUCCCCAGAAACCAGAAACUGUCAUGUAAGCCUCUGCCCCCCUUUCUUUAGCCCCACGUGCAUCCCCGAGGAUCCAGCUGCAGACGAGACUGUCCUUCUUGGACAACAGAGUCAGAAGCGUAAGGGGUCUGCCCAAGCUGUCCCCAUGGCAGGGGAUCAUCCAAAGGGGACAUGUUCAAAAGGCAGCGGUGCCAAGAAAGGAACUUGUGUUGACUACGUCUAACUCAUGUCCGUGGAGCGUAUCUUCACGUGCGUGUGUAGCUGUUUGUGCCCUGCCCCUCUGUCUGGUUUCCUUACAUACGUGUGUAUCGGCUGCUAGGCUGGCAAAGGGACACACCCGGCGGACGGACUGACUUACUCCCAUGCUAUGGCAGCCACCAUCACCAGAUACAUCAGAUAAUGAGCAGAGCCGUCCCAGUAGCAGAUCAUGUGCCCAUACGCAGUGUUCAGAUACGGUUCACCCUAAGGAAAGAGUAAAAGAGGAGUCUACUUUAAAUAGGACUCAAACAUCUCCACCCAGGACACCAGACCUGUAUUUCAAGUAAAAUGGAACAGCAGAGCUGGCUUGUGUUUGUCUGCUAAGAUAAACCUAGGCUCAGUCCCAUACGGGACUCUUCCCGUACAAACUUUGCCCUGGAGCCGCCGUCGCCAGAGUCUGCCAUGGGAUGGCCCCGAGCCUGCCUGGCCAUCCUCUGGGUGACGCACGUGGACAGUGACACCAGGCAGGUGGAAUCGUGGGCAACCGUGGUUGCACGGCUAUUGCACCGAGGCCGAGUCAAAUCUGGGACCAAAGGUGCGUCAGCUCUGGCCGGAGGGGGUGGCCAGAGAAGACUCCGCCCGCCACAACCACCAGCUGCCCUGCGUCAUUCGCCUGCGUGCUGAUCCCCAGGCUUGUUGGGCUGAGGCUGAGGAAGGCACAUCUUGCCCACACCCAGACACACAGACAGACAGACGGACAGGCACCCCACCCCCUCGACCUUCCCAGCCACCCUACGGGACCCACAACUCACUCCACUCUACAGAUGAGGAAACGGCUCCAAGGGGUCACAGGACCAGCCUAAGGUCACAUAGCGAACGCCUAGCACGGAGCAUACCAUCAAGAAAAGCCACACUUCUCCUGAGAAAUUAAUUUUAUGAACAUGAGAUUUUAUGACGCACUACAUUUCCCUCUUCCAGACGGCUCCCAGAAAGUCACGGUCUAAUUCGCAGGGGGGUUAAUGUCAUUCUGACGCCCCCUCGUUCUUUCUCCUCGCUCCCACGUUCAUGCUCUCCUGCCUUGUGUCCCCCUGAGACGCCCUCAGUCCUGUCGGCAGCGGCCAAGAAGGGGCCCCGCUGGAGCCCCACGCUCCCGGGGCAGGGACUGCUCUGUCUCCACUCCCUACGCAUCUGAUGGCAUGAGGACCGUGGAGCAGGUGGGAGUGCCUCGGCAGCUGGACUUGCGUGCCCGCGUCCCUUCUCUCCAACAUGCUAUGACUGGACAAAGCAAUGCCAUGUCACGACAUCAUGGUCAUGCCUAUGCACCUGGCCCUCGGAGCCGGCCUCGCCUGGUGGCUUGAUGGGUGUCUUUAACUGGACGGCCCUUUGAGGGCCCUCCAAACACCCCUGAACUCCUUCCACUCCUCAGCUUCUGCCCUCCGCCGAGCCCCGCCCAGCCUCCCAAUGAACCAUGACAGCACCCAGCCCACCUGGCUCAAAGCCACAGGGCCAUUUUUGUCACUCCUCUCUCCUCUGCAGUCUGCGGGCAAGUCUGGUCAAUUCUCUCUCUCUGAGGUCACUGCGGGCCACCCUCCCUGUCCGUACAUGGCCCUGUUCAAGCCCUCAGUGCCCCUCACGGAGCCAGUCCCACACAGUCUCUCUGUCUCCCUCUCUUUCCAAUCCACCUGCCAGAUGAAGACUCAUGAGGCCUGGCUCCUAACGCAUCUCUUCCACUCAAAAGCCUCCCAAAGCUGGUGGCCGCCCACAGGCCCGGCCCCACCUCCCCUACCUGGCAGCCAGGCGCCCAGAACCUGGCCCUGCAAACCUUCCCAGAGCGACACCCCAUCCCAGCUUCUCAUGCCUCACCGCUUGACACCCUCAACACCUCAACCUCUGCCCCCUUUCAGCAGCCACCUCCUCCCCGAGAGCUCCCCACUCUUUGGACUCAGAGGUCCCAGGCUCUCCAGCUGUUCCGUCUGCCUCUUGGCCUCACAAUCCACUUCAGGGACUCUUCUGGCCACGGCCUCCAGAGGUCCACUCACUCCACCCUCGGCCAUCUUCUCUCUCCCCCUUCUCCCGAGCAAGACUUCAGGUACCAUCUAUACUCAGAUGGCCCCCAAAUUUCUCCGUCAGGAAUGGUCCUCAGAGCUCAAGACCUGCAAAGCCCUGCCAACUGGGACAUCUGCCAGGAUGUCCCUCCACCACCUGAAACUCCACAUGUCCCCAAAUGAACUCAACAUCAUCCCUGCACACCUGCACCCUGGGCUGACCAUGGGGAGACACCUGCCUUUUCUCACCUCCAAGCUCUUGAUCAAGCCGACCCUUCUCCUUGGAAUGCCCUCCACCCUCCUCGUCUAUCUGGAAAAUGUUUACCUUCCAAUGUCAUUGCCAUUUGAAAAAAUGCUAGAGCAGUGUCACUAAUUCAGUGAGGACUCCCCUGACUGCUUCCAGGCCCAGUUCUUCCCUGCGUACAGGCUGACCUUGUUUUAUCGCCCUUCACUUUACUGUGCAUUGCAGACAUUGUGUUUUUUACAAACUGAAGGUUUGUGGCAACCCUGCGUCAAGCAAGUCUCUCGGGGCCGUUUCUCCAACAGCAUUUACUCGCUGUGUGUCUCUGAGUCACAUUUGGGUAAUCCUGGCGAUAUUUCAAGCUUUUCCAUUAUUAUUCUAUUUGUGAUGGUGAUCUGGGACCGGUGAUCUCUGAUGUCACUACUGUGACUGUUUGGGGGGCCCCACGAACUGCACCCAUAUACGAUGGCGACUGUUGGGUGUGGUCUGACUGCUUCGCCUACCUGCAUCCCUCCCUCCCUCCCUCUCCCUGUCCUCGGCAAACUUCACUGUUGUCUUAUUUUAAGAAACUGCCACGGCCACCCCAAACCUUCAGCAGCCACCCUCCUGAUCAGUCAGCAGCCCGCGACAUCACGGUAAAGACCCUCCACCAGCAAAAAGAUGAGGACUCGUUGAAAGCUCAGAUAAUAAUCAAGUUUUUAGCAAAAAAGUAUUUUAAUAUUAAGGUAUAUAGGGUUUUUAGACGCAAUGCUAUUGUACACUUCAUAGACUACCGUAUAGUGUAAAUACAACUUUUAGGUGCAUCGGGAAGCCAAAACCUUCAUGUGGCUUGCUUUAUUGUGAUAUUUGCUUUAUUGCAACGGUCCGGGACCGAACCCACACUAUCUCCACAGUGUGCCCAUGCCCUGUGCCCAACUCCUGUCUGCGGGGCUGAAUUCCCCGUCAUCCCUCUAGUUUAAUAACACCACCAUUCUCCCAAAAGCAGGAAGCAAGAGGUCUUCUUGGACCUUACUCUCCCCAUCACCCCCAGCUAAUCCCUGAGUCCUACCCACUCCAAGCACUCAAAGCCUCUGAAAUUCGUCCCUCCUCCCUACCUCCUGUGCUUGGCUCUGCCUAGGCCAUCCUCAAGCCCUUGCUGGCCCUGCAAAAGCCUCCUGACUUGAGUCCCAGCUCUCAGCCCAGACACUCCCCUUCAAGCCCAUCGUUCCCAGAGCUGACUGCAUGUUCCCUGACUCAAAUUCUUCCUUCGAAUGUGAGAUAAAAUCCAAACUCCCUUUGCUUAACAUAUGAAGCUCGCCGUUACUUGAAACACAGAUGAAAACUGUACUUUCCUGUGUGACCUUGAGUAAGUUACUUAACCUCUGGAGCUGGAUUCAUCACACCACUAAAACAGGGGAAGAGGACUAGCUCUCUCAAGGGCAGGUAGCACUAUAAUAUGACAGCGAGGGAAGGAUCAUCGCCAUCAAAUGGCUUCAUUAAGUGUCUGUGUUCUCUAACACACGUAAGACCGACCUGGGCUUUCGGAUAUGGUAAUGUUUUAAUAAUAAGACACCAAAUACUAAAUUCCUUUAGAGUAUCUCAUUUAUAUUAAAUACAAGCAAAGGAAAAAGGUAGUGGACCAGGUGUGAGGGAGAAGGUAUCAGACGAAGAUGCUGAAAAGAAGUGUCUCCCAUGAUCAAAUCCUAACUUUCUGCUUCACUUUCCACAUGAAUAAACCACCUACAUCUGUGGCAGUAAAAGAAAUACCACGGAUCUUACCACCUUACACUAAAUGUAGGGAUUUCAUCUUUCUGAGCAAUGGGACUUGGGGUGCUGACCCUUCGGCAUAAGGCUUACAGUCACUAAGCGAUCCCAUACCUCUCUCAAGUAGUACGUCAUGAACCCGUCAAUGAUUCCAUCCUGUUCCAAGCCUAUGAUGAGGUUCACCACGCUGGUAAAUCCGAAAACUGCAUACACUAGAGCAAAGGAAGAAGUAGUUAUUUAUUUAUUUAUAUUUCUGUAAAUUAAUCUCUACGCUCAAUGUGGGGCUUGAACCCACAACCUCCAAGAUCAAGAGUCACACGCCCCACUGACUGAGCCAGCCAGGCGCCCCAAGAAAGCAAUAGUUUAAAAAGCAGUAGCUCAGGAGGCAAUGACUAAGAGCUUGGCAUUCACCAAAAAUGGUGACUUCGUCUUCAUCUUUUCCAGAAGACAGUGGGCACUGUCAAGAUGGACGAACAGAAGGUCCCUCCUGUACAGAAGGACCCUCGCCUUUGUUAUGGAUCUCCGUGUCAUUGCCCGAGUGCUCUCUCCAAGGGGACACCCACCAGGGGGACAGAAUGACAUGCUCACCCACUAACUGUGCCACGGGAUCCUACCAGGUCACCCCAUCCAUCCUCCACAACCUACCAGUGGCUGCCCGGGGCCAUACCAGCAUCCCACCUGCAGCCAGCUCGUCUGAUGUUUGCCCUAGUCCACACUGAAGAGCCUAAAGACGGAUGAUGACUGAUGGGCAAGUUGUAAGAAGAAAGGCCAGUGAUUUUUAAAAUGGGUACAAGACGGCACAAUUGAAUACGAAAAAAGCCAAGCCACAGCGUCUUAGAGAAUCUCACUCAGGUUGUGAGAAUCUCCUAAACAGGCUUAAAGCUACCAGCAACACACAGCUGUAGAAUGAUACGUUUUACAUGGCAAAAGAUCAACUUAGUGCAUGUUAGUUUAUCAAUAAGGAUGCAUUUUCAAGCUGUACCCCAUCAGAAGCCAUGUGGCGGGCACGGGUAGGACAAGAAUUCGAAGGUGGACAGAAGAACAGCCAUGAUAAAGUGGGGAGGUUACUUCCCAGAGAAGGGAAGCCAGCCUUGCCAAGUCUGCAGCCAAGCCCCCGGUGUUCACAUCUUCCCCAGGAUGCAAGGCCCGCGAGUGCCCUGCCCUACAGACCCUGCCUUCCCAUGCCUUCCAGGUCUGUGCUCCAGACCUUGCUGUCAGGAUCAGCCCCCGAAGGUCCCCCAGGAAAGAAAGCGCUCAGCAUCUGAUCACUGAGGCUGACGGGAGUGUCGGAUGCUGGGUCCAAGGUGACAAGCCCCGGCCCCAGGGCUGCAGUGUGCUCAAGCUAGGACAUAGAUGAGAACAGAGGGCUGAGGGUGUAGGAACAAGGGUGCUCAAUCCUGGGGAAUUGGGAGAGACCCAAGUCAGCUAAGCAUGGGCUCCAUGGAGUGGGGUGGAAAGACAGCAGCAGGAGACAACUCUCGAAACCUAGGCUGGGGUCAGAGCAAAGACAGGUGGUGUGGGGCCAGAGAAAUGAUGUGGGCCUUGAACUCAGACAGGUCCAACUCAUCUACCCUAAGCAUGGGCUCCACGGAGUGGGGUGGAAAGACAGCAGCAGGAGACCACUCUCAAAACCUAGGCUGGGGUCAGAGCAAAGACAGGUGGUGUGGGGCCAGAGAAAUGAUGUGGGCCUUGAACUCAGACAGGUCCAACUCAUCUCCCCACUGGCUGUCCAACCUUAGGCAAGUCACAUGAUUUACCUAAGCUUCAGGGUCUUUUAUAUGCAAGUUGGGAGAAAUUAGUUACAAUUCUUCUUUCCCUCCCCACCUUUGCCAAGAUCCACGGUGGGCAGAGAAUAUUCCCCAUGCUAUUGAUGAUGGACUCAGCCACACGACUUCCUUUGGCCACUGGAGUGUGCAUGGAAGUGACAGUGGCCAACUCCCAAGUCUCCUCUGCCAUGAGAAGGGCCCACCAUGGGGAGCUGCUGGUCCAAGAACAAGGAGACACAUGGGACAGCUCUGAAUAUGACCCGCAGUCCGAUGCACAACAGUCCUAGCUAACCUGCAGACCCGUGAGCGUGGGCACUAAAUGUUUGUACCCAAGAUUGGAAGUACCCGAAGUGUGGGUACAGAAGACAGGCAUAAACAAAAUGGAGUAUGACUCAGCCAUAAACAAAGAAGGAAAUCCUGCCAUUUCCAACAACCUGGGUGGACUCUGAGGGCACUGUGCUAAGCGAGAUGAGUCAGCAGAGAAAGACCGAGACUGUGUGAUCUCACUCAGGGACGUGGAAGCCAAACAAGCUGAACUCAUAGAAACAGAGGCUGGAACGGUGGUUGCAGGGCCGGUGAGUGGGGGACAUGGGGAGAUGCCGGGCAAAGGGUACAAACUUCCAGUUGUAAGAUGAGUAAGUUGACAGCGUGGUGACUGCGGUGAACAAGACUGCACUGUACCCUAAAUGUUCUCACCACACGCCAGAAAAAGGUAAUUCUGUGAGGUGAGGGACCCUACGGCGAACAACCUCGUUGUGGCCACCAUCUCAUGGUGCAGCCGUGUAUCACAUCGUCACGGGGUAGACCUUACGCCUGCCCGGUGUCAGACGUCAAUUACAUCUCCGUAAAGCUGCAGAAACAUGGGAAAUGUCUGUUGCUGCGGCAGGACACCGAGGUCUGGGGGCGUCUGAUACGCAGCCUCGCUAAAGCAGAAACUGAACAAGUAAAGGCGCAGCCCAGCUCCCGCAGGGGACGCGCUUGAAGGCGGGGACGGCUUGGCUGGAGGCAGCCUGGUGCAAAGAAGAGUGUGGCUUCGGGGGUCAAUGCCGUUCUCACUAUAUGACCUUGACCACGUGUCUUAGCGGCUCCGAGCCCGCUUCUUCAUCUGUAAGGGGAGGGCAUCUGUUGCGAGGAUUAAAUAAGCUAAUACUUUGAAGUGCUCGGGGCCACACCAGGCACGCCGUAAGUGCUGGAUCAGGGGUGUUUUCACUUACGUAAUGCACGUGUGUACUUUUCAGGCACUGUUUAAAUAUUUGACUAAUAUCAUUGAAUGUUUGUAGCAACCCUCCACGGGGAGCACUGUUUUCCUCAGUGGACCAAGACACUACAGCUCAGUUCCAUGCCGGGUGGAGGGGGCGGCAAGAAGCAAGGCAAAGGCAAGAAGCACGGGAAGGAGCCGCUGCAAGAGUCGAGGGCAGAGAGCCAGCCAGAAACCUUCAGACUGAGCUCCAGGGAGCACAGAAGAGUCACAGCUACACACACCUUCCAGGAGGACCAGGAGGAAGGGCCCCAGGAUGUGUAUAAUCAAAGGGGCCAGAGGAUGAGGCCAAUCCAAGGAAGGAAGAGUUGGGCCAGAGCUGCGGCCAGAAGGAAGCCAGCUCCACACACCCGGGGCAGCAAGCCAGAGUCCAACCCCGCACCUGGAAGGUAAGGUGAGGCUAGGGUGGGCACAGGAAAAGGACCAGAUACCAAGGAGACCAGGGGCCAAGGCCCCUUCCCAGUGGGACAGCAUUAGGGCGUGAGGCUCGGUUGAGUUAGCAGUCAAGACACCUAGAGUCUAGGACCUACUCUGCUACUGCCUAACUGGGCGACCUGAGCAAAGUCCUGUCAUUUCAUCAUCUGUUUAUUAAUUUUAAAACAUAUUAAGGAUAAAAUGUUUUAUGCACCACUAUGUGCCAGGCACUGUGGAUGAAUGGAGGACGUCCCUGUCUCCACGGAGGGUCCUAUCUCAAUGGACUCCGCGCUCUCUCUCCCAGAGGUCACCUCUAGACCUACAGAGCUUCUCUCUCACACCUCCAGCACCAAGCAGAGCUUGCAGUCCUAGACAGAGGGCCAUGGCCCUCUCCAGCAGCCUCCUACACCACAGCCUCCUCAACAGCCCUUCAGAGCUGCCACAAACAGCACUCCUCGGCCGAAACCCCUCCACACCACAGCAGACCGACAAGGGGACUUUUGGAUCACCUCUACCAUAUGCCCUGGGACUUCUGGAAAGUACCUUUCUCAGUCACAGAUUCCACAACCUAACAAUACCUACUGACAGCUGAGGGACAAACUCAUGCUGAAGUUCACUCCACUCACCUGCAGCUGGAAUGGUUGUUAGAAAUCUGCCCCCAAUGUAAGACGGGUCAGUGAGGAAGUGGGAAGAGAUCCAUCCAACCUGCAGGUAGAUGGGCCCACAGGAGACUGGUCACAGGUGCAGGAGAGCUGUAUCUCCAGCACCUGACCCCGGCCCCACAAAGAGUCAGGGAAUGGGCUCUGGGCAUCAGGAGCACCCAGAUUUCCAAAUGCCACCCUCGACCUACAGCUAUCUUUUCAAGAUACCUGGAUGAGUAUGACAAAGAAAGUCUGCCUGGGGACUUCUGUUAGGAUAAUAAGAAUUGAAUGGAUGAAGGAGGGAAAGAGGGGAAAAGAAGCCAGGAAGGAGAAAUGGAUGGAUGGAUGGAU